AGUGAACGCUGGCGGUAGGCCUAACGCAUGCAAGUCGAACGGCAGCACAGUAAGAGCUUGCUCUUACGGGUGGCGAGUGGCGGACGGGUGAGGAAUACAUCGGCAUCUACUUUUUCGUGGGGGAUAACGUAGGGAAACUCACGCUAAUACCGCAUACGACCUACGGGUGAAAGCAGGGGAUCUUCGGACCUUGCGCGAUUGAAUGAGCCGAUGUCGGAUUAGCUAGUUGGCGGGGUAAAGGCCCACCAAGGCGACGAUCCGUAGCUGGUCUGAGAGGAUGAUCGGCCACACUGGAACUGAGACACGGUCCAGACUCCUACGGGAGGCAGCAGUGGGGAAUAUUGGACAAUGGGCGCAAUCCUGAUCCAGCCAUACCGCGUGGGUGAAGAAGGCCUUCGGGUUGUAAAGCCCUUUUGUUGGGAAAGAAAAGCAGCAGAUUAAUACCCCGCUGUUCUGACGGUACCCAAAGAAUAAGCACCGGCUAACUUCGUG
Molecule: ribosomal RNA, 492 nt
Filed under: uncultured bacterium
Lineage: Bacteria
Description: partial 16S ribosomal RNA
Rfam family: Bacterial small subunit ribosomal RNA
Source: RNAcentral